GGAGCAUGUGGUUUAAUUCGAUGCAACGCGAAGAACCUUACCUACUCUUGACAUCCACAGAACUUAGCAGAGAUGCUUCGGUGCCUUCGGGAACUGUGAGACAGGUGCUGCAUGGCUGUCGUCAGCUCGUGUUGUGAAAUGUUGGGUUAAGUCCCGCAACGAGCGCAACCCUUAUCCUUUGUUGCCAGCACGUAAUGGUGGGAACUCAAGGGAGACUGCCGGUGACAAACCGGAGGAAGGUGGGGAUGACGUCAAGUCAUCAUGGCCCUUACGAGUAGGGCUACACACGUGCUACAAUGGCAGAUACAAAGUGAAGCGAACUCGCGAGAGCAAGCGGACCACAUAAAGUCUGUCGUAGUCCGGAUUGGAGUCUGCAACUCGACUCCANGAAGUCGGAAUCGC
Molecule: ribosomal RNA, 402 nt
Filed under: Yersinia sp. AZTITEMP301
Lineage: Bacteria; Pseudomonadati; Pseudomonadota; Gammaproteobacteria; Enterobacterales; Yersiniaceae
Description: bacterial SSU rRNA
Rfam family: Bacterial small subunit ribosomal RNA
Source: RNAcentral